UCAUCUUCUUCAAUAUUAAAUACAUUUUUGAAUUUAUUUUUAAAUUUAUCACGUUUUGAUCUGAUUUUUUCUAAAUCGACACUUCUUCUCGUCUUACGUGCAUAUUCUGAUGUUUUAUCUUGAAGUUG
RNAcentral lists this small RNA (128 nucleotides) under Staphylococcus haemolyticus. RNAcentral's name for it is "Staphylococcus sRNA sau-59". It matches the Rfam family "Staphylococcus sRNA sau-59". RNAcentral also lists the same sequence under 1 other name. The record is from RNAcentral. Lineage: Bacteria; Bacillati; Bacillota; Bacilli; Caryophanales; Staphylococcaceae.